RNAcentral lists this ribosomal RNA (1153 nucleotides) under Garciella sp. 'TERI MEOR 02'. RNAcentral's name for it is "bacterial SSU rRNA". It matches the Rfam family "Bacterial small subunit ribosomal RNA", at positions 22 to 1184 of the family's 1533-position model. Lineage: Bacteria; Bacillati; Bacillota; Clostridia; Eubacteriales; Eubacteriaceae. The record is from RNAcentral.
GCUCAGGACGAACGCUGGCGGCGUGCCUAACACAUGCAAGUCGAGCGGUCUAAGUAAGCAACCUAGUUGAGAACUUAGAUAGCGGCGGACGGGUGAGUAACGCGUGGAGAACCUGCCUUGUAGAGGGGGAUAGCCUCGGGAAACCGGGAUUAAUACCCCAUGACACUGAAAUACCGCAUGGUAUUUGAGUCAAAGCGAGCAAGCGCUACAAGAUGGCUCCGCGUCCCAUUAGCUAGUUGGUGAGAUAACAGCUCACCAAGGCGACGAUGGGUAGCCGACCUGAGAGGGUGAUCGGCCACAUUGGGACUGAGACACGGCCCAAACUCCUACGGGAGGCAGCAGUGGGGAAUAUUGCGCAAUGGGGGNAACCCUGACGCAGCAACGCCGCGUGAGCGAAGAAGGCCUUCGGGUCGUAAAGCUCUGUGAUAAGGGAAGAAGAAAUGGCAGUACCUAAAAGGAAGCCCCGGCUAACUACGUGCCAGCAGCCGCGGUAAUACGUAGGGGGCGAGCGUUGUCCGGAAUUACUGGGCGUAAAGGGUGCGUAGGCGGCCAAAUAAGUCAGAUGUGAAAGUCCAAGGCUCAACCAUGGAAUAGCAUUUGAAACUGUAUGGCUUGAGUGCAGGAGAGGAGAGCGGAAUUCCUAGUGUAGCGGUGAAAUGCGUAGAGAUUAGGAAGAACACCAGUGGCGAAGGCGGCUCUCUGGACUGUAACUGACGCUGAGGCACGAAAGCGUGGGUAGCGAACAGGAUUAGAUACCCUGGUAGUCCACGCCGUAAACGAUGAGUGCUAGGUGUCGGGAGGAAUCUCGGUGCCGGAGUUAACACAAUAAGCACUCCGCCUGGGGAGUACGACCGCAAGGUUAAAACUCAAAGGAAUUGACGGGGGCCCGCACAAGCAGCGGAGCAUGUGGUUUAAUUCGAAGCAACGCGAAGAACCUUGCCAGGGCUUGACAUCCCUUGACGACCUAAGAGAUUAGGUGUUCUCGGUAUACGGGACAAGGAGACAGGUGGUGCAUGGUUGUCGUCAGCUCGUGUCGUGAGAUGUUGGGUUAAGUCCCGCAACGAGCGCAACCCUUAUAUUUAGUUGCCAGCAAGUAAAGUUGGGCACUCUAAAUAGACUGCCGGCAAGAAGUCGGAGGAAGGUGGGGAUGACG